This 2930-nucleotide ribosomal RNA is filed under the name Escherichia coli. RNAcentral's name for it is "23S ribosomal RNA". It matches the Rfam family "Bacterial large subunit ribosomal RNA". Lineage: Bacteria; Pseudomonadati; Pseudomonadota; Gammaproteobacteria; Enterobacterales; Enterobacteriaceae. The record is from RNAcentral.
GGGUUGUGAGGUUAAGCGACUAAGCGUACACGGUGGAUGCCCUGGCAGUCAGAGGCGAUGAAGGACGUGCUAAUCUGCGAUAAGCGUCGGUAAGGUGAUAUGAACCGUUAUAACCGGCGAUUUCCGAAUGGGGAAACCCAGUGUGAUUCGUCACACUAUCAUUAACUGAAUCCAUAGGUUAAUGAGGCGAACCGGGGGAACUGAAACAUCUAAGUACCCCGAGGAAAAGAAAUCAACCGAGAUUCCCCCAGUAGCGGCGAGCGAACGGGGAGCAGCCCAGAGCCUGAAUCAGUGUGUGUGUUAGUGGAAGCGUCUGGAAAGGCGUGCGAUACAGGGUGACAGCCCCGUACACAAAAAUGCACAUACUGUGAGCUCGAUGAGUAGGGCGGGACACGUGGUAUCCUGUCUGAAUAUGGGGGGACCAUCCUCCAAGGCUAAAUACUCCUGACUGACCGAUAGUGAACCAGUACCGUGAGGGAAAGGCGAAAAGAACCCCGGCGAGGGGAGUGAAAAAGAACCUGAAACCGUGUACGUACAAGCAGUGGGAGCACGCUUAGGCGUGUGACUGCGUACCUUUUGUAUAAUGGGUCAGCGACUUAUAUUCUGUAGCAAGGUUAACCGAAUAGGGGAGCCGAAGGGAAACCGAGUCUUAACUGGGCGUUAAGUUGCAGGGUAUAGACCCGAAACCCGGUGAUCUAGCCAUGGGCAGGUUGAAGGUUGGGUAACACUAACUGGAGGACCGAACCGACUAAUGUUGAAAAAUUAGCGGAUGACUUGUGGCUGGGGGUGAAAGGCCAAUCAAACCGGGAGAUAGCUGGUUCUCCCCGAAAGCUAUUUAGGUAGCGCCUCGUGAAUUCAUCUCCGGGGGUAGAGCACUGUUUCGGCAAGGGGGUCAUCCCGACUUACCAACCCGAUGCAAACUGCGAAUACCGGAGAAUGUUAUCACGGGAGACACACGGCGGGUGCUAACGUCCGUCGUGAAGAGGGAAACAACCCAGACCGCCAGCUAAGGUCCCAAAGUCAUGGUUAAGUGGGAAACGAUGUGGGAAGGCCCAGACAGCCAGGAUGUUGGCUUAGAAGCAGCCAUCAUUUAAAGAAAGCGUAAUAGCUCACUGGUCGAGUCGGCCUGCGCGGAAGAUGUAACGGGGCUAAACCAUGCACCGAAGCUGCGGCAGCGACGCUUAUGCGUUGUUGGGUAGGGGAGCGUUCUGUAAGCCUGCGAAGGUGUGCUGUGAGGCAUGCUGGAGGUAUCAGAAGUGCGAAUGCUGACAUAAGUAACGAUAAAGCGGGUGAAAAGCCCGCUCGCCGGAAGACCAAGGGUUCCUGUCCAACGUUAAUCGGGGCAGGGUGAGUCGACCCCUAAGGCGAGGCCGAAAGGCGUAGUCGAUGGGAAACAGGUUAAUAUUCCUGUACUUGGUGUUACUGCGAAGGGGGGACGGAGAAGGCUAUGUUGGCCGGGCGACGGUUGUCCCGGUUUAAGCGUGUAGGCUGGUUUUCCAGGCAAAUCCGGAAAACUAAGGCUGAGGCGUGAUGACGAGGCACUACGGUGCUGAAGCAACAAAUGCCCUGCUUCCAGGAAAAGCCUCUAAGCAUCAGGUAACAUCAAAUCGUACCCCAAACCGACACAGGUGGUCAGGUAGAGAAUACCAAGGCGCUUGAGAGAACUCGGGUGAAGGAACUAGGCAAAAUGGUGCCGUAACUUCGGGAGAAGGCACGCUGAUAUGUAGGUGAAGUCCCUCGCGGAUGGAGCUGAAAUCAGUCGAAGAUACCAGCUGGCUGCAACUGUUUAUUAAAAACACAGCACUGUGCAAACACGAAAGUGGACGUAUACGGUGUGACGCCUGCCCGGUGCCGGAAGGUUAAUUGAUGGGGUUAGCGCAAGCGAAGCUCUUGAUCGAAGCCCCGGUAAACGGCGGCCGUAACUAUAACGGUCCUAAGGUAGCGAAAUUCCUUGUCGGGUAAGUUCCGACCUGCACGAAUGGCGUAAUGAUGGCCAGGCUGUCUCCACCCGAGACUCAGUGAAAUUGAACUCGCUGUGAAGAUGCAGUGUACCCGCGGCAAGACGGAAAGACCCCGUGAACCUUUACUAUAGCUUGACACUGAACAUUGAGCCUUGAUGUGUAGGAUAGGUGGGAGGCUUGGAAGUGUGGACGCCAGUCUGCAUGGAGCCGACCUUGAAAUACCACCCUUUAAUGUUUGAUGUUCUAACGUUGACCCGUAAUCCGGGUUGCGGACAGUGUCUGGUGGGUAGUUUGACUGGGGCGGUCUCCUCCUAAAGAGUAACGGAGGAGCACGAAGGUUGGCUAAUCCUGGUCGGACAUCAGGAGGUUAGUGCAAUGGCAUAAGCCAGCUUGACUGCGAGCGUGACGGCGCGAGCAGGUGCGAAAGCAGGUCAUAGUGAUCCGGUGGUUCUGAAUGGAAGGGCCAUCGCUCAACGGAUAAAAGGUACUCCGGGGAUAACAGGCUGAUACCGCCCAAGAGUUCAUAUCGACGGCGGUGUUUGGCACCUCGAUGUCGGCUCAUCACAUCCUGGGGCUGAAGUAGGUCCCAAGGGUAUGGCUGUUCGCCAUUUAAAGUGGUACGCGAGCUGGGUUUAGAACGUCGUGAGACAGUUCGGUCCCUAUCUGCCGUGGGCGCUGGAGAACUGAGGGGGGCUGCUCCUAGUACGAGAGGACCGGAGUGGACGCAUCACUGGUGUUCGGGUUGUCAUGCCAAUGGCACUGCCCGGUAGCUAAAUGCGGAAGAGAUAAGUGCUGAAAGCAUCUAAGCACGAAACUUGCCCCGAGAUGAGUUCUCCCUGACUCCUUGAGAGUCCUGAAGGAACGUUGAAGACGACGACGUUGAUAGGCCGGGUGUGUAAGCGCAGCGAUGCGUUGAGCUAACCGGUACUAAUGAACCGUGAGGCUUAACCUUACAACGCCGAAGCUGUU